AACAUAACAAAUAACUGACAGUAUUUCGACGAAGACGUUUGAAAAACGCCACAAAAACAGCGACAGAAAUGUCCAAAAAAAGCAUCGAAAACAAUAGAAAAAAAGAAGUUUAGAAACAGAAUAAAGUGAAUGACCAUUGAUGACACACUGGGUUUAUUUAUUGUGUUCAAUAACUGUCAUUUAUUCUUUAAUUAUUGAAAUGGUAUAGUGGUAGGAUAAGAGCCGGAGAAAAAACAAUGAAAUACAUGGUUUAUGUUGAAGCAUGUGCUUCAAGUGGCCUGCAC
Sander lucioperca (pikeperch) is the source of this 284-nucleotide long non-coding RNA. RefSeq lists it as uncharacterized. Lineage: Eukaryota; Metazoa; Chordata; Actinopteri; Perciformes; Percidae. The transcript is spliced from 2 exons. The record is from RefSeq and is a predicted model, not a curated record.